UAAAGUUAUAUUCGGAAAGAAUAAACCAGUUUUAUUCAAGAAAGGAGUUGUGUCGCUAAAGUUUCGUCGGAACGAAUUGACUGGAAAAUAAUUAAUGACUGGAGGCGUAACAAUAUGUACACACAGUAGAUAAACCUUAAAUCUCUUUCAUUGCUCCUUGACAUAUAAGAAACUGAUGAUAAUAUUUUGUUAUAGUUCUUUACUGCUUGACAUGUGACACAUUGACAAUAAUAUUUUGUUAUUGUUCUUUAAUGCUUGAUGUGACACAUUGACAAUAAUAUUUUAUUAUAGUUCUUUACUGCUUGACAUGUGACACAUUGACAAUAAUGUUUUGUUAUAGUUCUUUACUGCUUGACAUGUGACACAUUGACAAUAUUGUUUUGUUAUUGUUCUGUACUGCUUGAUAUGUGACACAUUAAUGAUAGUGUUUUGUUAUAGUUCUUUAUUGCUUGAUAUGUGACACAUUGAUGAUAAUGUUUUGUUAUAGUUAUUUACUCCUUGACAUGUGACACGUUGACCAUAAUAUUUGGUAUAGUUCAUAGAGGAAGUUAUACAUUGUAUGAUAUUUGAGUAUGAUAUAGUGAAGCAUGAUUUAUAUUCAGACUUGUUAUAGACAAAUCUACAUUAUUUAUACUUCUACCAACAGGAGAAGGUGGUUCCUUACAAGAAAGAUCUUUACAUACCAUUUUGAAGUCUGAUUUAGUAAAAGAGGAACAAGAAGAGAAGUAUGAAGCAACAGAAAAAACUGAGAACAUAUUUUUCACAGUAAAAACAGAACAACCUGAUGAUUUACCACAAAGUGAGGUUAUUUCAAAGUUCAAUGAAAGUAGUGAUGAUGAUUUGGAUAGUUCAAAAUGUGAUGUUAUCAAUGUGAAAACAGAAACUGAAUUCAAAGAAGAUUUACAGUAUAUUGAAUCUAGGUUGGAAAGUACAUCUGAUAUAAAGUCUGGUGC
Molecule: long non-coding RNA, 953 nt
Organism: Limulus polyphemus (Atlantic horseshoe crab)
Lineage: Eukaryota; Metazoa; Arthropoda; Merostomata; Xiphosura; Limulidae
Exons: 4
Source: RefSeq, a predicted model, not a curated record